AAGCACAAUUAAGUGUCUUGUGGCCUUUUCGAGUUUCAUUCUUAUGCAAGAUCAAGUUCGAGUUUACAGAAGAGCUGAGCUUUUGGUUGUGGUUUGUCCCUUUUGAAGGCCGGUGACAAUU
Molecule: small nucleolar RNA, 121 nt
Organism: Stegostoma tigrinum
Lineage: Eukaryota; Metazoa; Chordata; Chondrichthyes; Orectolobiformes; Stegostomatidae
Source: RefSeq, a predicted model, not a curated record